UGUUAGUUGCCAUCAGGUCAUGCUGGGGACUCUAACAAAACUGCCCGCGUAAGCGUGGAGGAAGGUGGGGAUGACGUCAAAUCAGCACGGCCCUUACGUCCAGGGCUACACACGUGCUACAAUGGCCGGUACAGAGGGCAGCCACUUGGUGACAAGGAGCAAAUCUCAAAAGCCGGUCUCAGUUCGGAUCGGAGUCUGCAACUCGACUCCGUGAAGUUGGAUUCGCUAGUAAUCGUAGAUCAGCAAUGCUACGGUGAAUACGUUCCCGGGCCUU
Molecule: ribosomal RNA, 274 nt
Filed under: uncultured Bacteroidota bacterium
Lineage: Bacteria; Pseudomonadati; Bacteroidota
Description: uncultured Bacteroidetes bacterium partial 16S ribosomal RNA
Rfam family: Bacterial small subunit ribosomal RNA
Source: RNAcentral